Stomoxys calcitrans (stable fly) is the source of this 2466-nucleotide long non-coding RNA. RefSeq lists it as uncharacterized. The transcript is spliced from 2 exons. The record is from RefSeq and is a predicted model, not a curated record. NCBI's taxonomy places the organism in Eukaryota, Metazoa, Arthropoda, Insecta, Diptera, Muscidae.
UUUUUCCAGCUACUUUUUUUCAACCGAAUGUAACUGCUUUGUGCAGUUAAUUAAAUAAAAUAUCUUAUUUUUGGUUCCUACUAUUCUUAAAGUCCACAAUACAAUUAUUUUAAAUUGAUUUCAAAUAUUACGCCAUUAAGAUGCUUGGUCCCUCACUGAGUCAUAAAUGCUUUUUUUGUGGCAUUGCUAGAACUAACAACGAUACCGACAACUUCUUCACUCUUUCGACACAUACAUUACUAAACCAAAAGUACUAGUUAAAUAUUUUUUUUUUUUAAUUUCCAGGUAUCUAUAGUCAAUUCCCUUUUUAUUGGCUGUCCCCUCACUUUACACAUUCCAGAAUAAUUUCGCAUUGUGGUGUAAUGAUGCAGUUGUUUUUCUAAUGGAAUGGAAAAUUUUUGCCCAUUUCGACAGCAAAGCAAAAUUAAAAACAGCUACCAUCUGCCUUCUCCCGCUCCUCUCUACAUCGUUUUGGUUGUUAUAACAGUUUCCCGACAUAACGAAAGAGAUAACGCUAUGCGCAUGUUUCAAACUAAAGCAACCCCAUUCGCUAGCAUUCGAAUGUGCUAGAAAAGGUUAAUGGAAAAUUUCUUUGCCUUCCAAGAACACACAAACAUAUAUACGGGCACUUUCUGGGGUAUAAAUAGGCCUGCUUUGCUUGCUCUGGCAUCAGUGGUUUUCUUAAACUUGUACCUAUAACACGCCUCAGGGAGGCUAAAGAAGUGGAAUAUUUUUGUGUGAUUGUGAAAAAGAGUGUUCUUGUGUGAAUGAGAGAGUUUGGUGUUUGCCUAAAAAUGACUGUAAUCAAGAGGCGUUCAAAUCUUGUUGCUAGAUCAGGAGAAUACUAUUGUUCCGGCAGUAGGCCGAAAUAGUGAGGAGAAAAUUUGCGGUAUUCCAUGUGAAACUGGGAAUCUGAAAGAAAAUGGCUACAUGAUUAAUCCACCCGUCAAGCUGUGAGAGCUCUAGGCAGGAAGCAAUUUAUGAAGAUUGGUUUCUGAGUGUUGCCCCCUCAAUGCGAGUGAGAAUGAAGAGUUUUCAACUAAAGUUCUGGGUCUGGUUAGCAUCAACUUAAACUGACUGCUCUGGUGUUGUUUGUCAACGUCACUUGAAGCCUUGCUUCUAAAAGCCCGAAAUUGUAUGUGUAUUGUAUUGGGCGGCUGCGUGAGUAAAUUUGUCAUAAUUUUAUGCUAAAUUUGCAAAAAUCUCGUGCAAUUCUCUCGACAUUUAAUUCGAAAUGAAAUAUCAACAAUUAUCAAAAUCAUCACAUCUGUAGAGGCUUAAACAGAGCGAGGUUGUUGUUAUGAUGUAUUGUAUAUUUUAUUCUUCAACCAAAUCGUACAUACAUACAUGCAAACAAACAGACAAACGUAUUCUAGAAACAGAAAGAUAAACAGCUCGAAGAAUGUGAAAGAGUUUAUUCUUGAGAAACGAAUUGAAAAUUAUUAGCCAGAAAAAUCUCGAAUCAUCUACACCCUCUUGAAUCUGAAUCAGAGAAUGUAUCACGAAUGAGAUAUUAGAAGAGUGCAUUGUGUGCGCUGUGUGUGGUAUAGAUGAGAGAGAGAGAGAGAGUGAGUGUGUGAUGAUGUAUGCGCGAAUUUUGAUGAACGAGAAUGAAUCACACGCGAGAUUGAUCAUAAUAAGUUCGAGAGAGCGAGAAUGAUAAAAAUGAGAGAGGAUUCAGAUGAAGUCAGGCACAUCAAAUGAGGUUUUUAAGACAGAGAGAGAAACAACACACAUAUUCUCAAAAGAAGACUUGUAAAAACCCACGUCCAACUGACAGCUAUCUAUCUAACUAAACUCUAAGAAAGAACGCCCCCUGGGCUCAGAGAAUCUUGAGAUACUUAGAGUUAUCUAUCACCCAUCAAUGUAAGAAUAUUUUGUAAAUCUAAAAAAAAAAUGUAGAGCGAAAAGAAUAAAAAAAAUAGAAUCACCACCAUCCCCAUCAACGUUAAGGGUUAAGUGUUUUAGAGAUUUUAUAUACAUCUACUCUUUAUACUAAUCGAUAAGCACAUAAAUCCCCGUUGAGAGGUACAAGAAAACAUCCAACCCAACAAAAUCAUUAUUAUGAUGUGUUCGUUUAGUUGACACCAUCACCACUACUACCAUAUACCACAGUGUAUUAAGAUUACCAUAUAAGCCUUAACUGAUUUUGAUUGAUAUUCUGUUCUAUUUUUUCGUCAUACACGUUUGUUCUACAACUAUCUUUUAAGCAUUCUUCUCAGUAUAUCUAUUAUAGUUCAUACGUACUUUUUAUAUACAUUCUUCAUUUUCUGAAAACCAAGAAAGAAAAAAAUAUUUCACAGAAAGCAAAAAAUUAUACUGAAGCAAAACAAAAAAAAAACAAAAGAAUUAUUUCAAAAGAAAAAAUCUUAAAAAAGAGAAACCGCAUAAAAAAAAAUGAAGAAGAAAAGAUUUUUGAAGAAAUAAUAAAUAUAUGAUGAAACCUUAUUUUUCUAUAAAACCAAA